AUUGAACGCUGGCGGCAUGCCUUACACAUGCAAGUCGAACGGCAGCGGGCCCUUCGGGGUGCCGGCGAGUGGCGAACGGGUGAGUAAUGCAUCGGAACGUACCCGGGAGAGGGGGAUAACCGGCCGAAAGGCUGGCUAAUACCGCAUGAACUCGGAAGAGCAAAGCGGGAGACCUUCGGGCCUCGCGCUCUCGGAGCGGCCGAUGUCCGAUUAGGCUAGUUGGUGGGGUAAAGGCCCACCAAGGCGACGAUCGGUAGCGGGUCUGAGAGGACGAUCCGCCACACUGGGACUGAGACACGGCCCAGACUCCUACGGGAGGCAGCAGUGGGGAAUCUUGGACAAUGGGCGCAAGCCUGAUCCAGCAAUGCCGCGUGGGUGAAGAAGGCCUUCGGGUUGUAAAGCCCUUUCGGCGGGGAAGAAAUCGGUCAGGCGAAUAGUCUGGCCGGAUGACGGUACCCGCAGAAGAAGCACCGGCUAACUACGUG
RNAcentral lists this ribosomal RNA (485 nucleotides) under uncultured bacterium. RNAcentral's name for it is "partial 16S ribosomal RNA". It matches the Rfam family "Bacterial small subunit ribosomal RNA", at positions 28 to 507 of the family's 1533-position model. The record is from RNAcentral.